UCCCUGGUGGUCCAGUGGUUAAGACUUUGUGCUUCCAAUGCAGAGGGUGCAGGUUUGAUUCCUGGUUGAGGAA
RNAcentral lists this transfer RNA (73 nucleotides) under Bos taurus (domestic cattle). It matches the Rfam family "tRNA". Rfam says of the family: Transfer RNA (tRNA) molecules are approximately 80 nucleotides in length. The record is from Rfam by way of RNAcentral. Lineage: Eukaryota; Metazoa; Chordata; Mammalia; Artiodactyla; Bovidae. RNAcentral also lists the same sequence under 4 other names.